GUCUUUUUGCGAAAUAUAAAAAGUCUAGCCUGCUCAAUGAUUUUUAAUAGCCGCGGUAUUUUGACCGUGCGAAGGUAGCAUAAUCAAUUGUCUAUUAAUUGUAGUCUGGAAUGAAUGGUUGGACGGGGGUCAUCUUUUUUAGUUUUAUACUUGAAUUUGAACUAUUAGUAAAAAUGCUAAUUUGAGUUAGAGGGACGAGAAGACCCUAUAGAGCUUUAUAUACUGUUAAUUUAAGAUGGAAAUUAAAAGUUAUAUUUUGUUGGGGCGACAAAUAAUAUAAACAUUUAGUUAAUCUAUUUUAUAGGUAUUUUGAUCCAUUAAUAAUGAUUUUAGACUAAGUUACCUUAGGGAUAACAGCGUUAUCUUAUCUUAGAGUUCCUAUCGAUGAUAAGGUUUGCGACCUCGAUGUUGGAUUAGAAUUCCCAUUAGGUGCAGGAAUUUUUUUGGGUAGUCUGUUCGACUAUAAAAAUUCUACAUGAUCU
This 482-nucleotide ribosomal RNA is filed under the name Otostigmus sp. C WS-2018. RNAcentral's name for it is "partial 16S ribosomal RNA". It matches the Rfam family "Bacterial large subunit ribosomal RNA", at positions 1830 to 2606 of the family's 2925-position model. Lineage: Eukaryota; Metazoa; Arthropoda; Chilopoda; Scolopendromorpha; Scolopendridae. The record is from RNAcentral.